CUGGGAGGACCAUCUCCUAAGGCUAAAUACUCUCUAGUGACCGAUAGUGAACCAGUACCGUGAGGGAAAGGUGAAAAGCACCCCGGAAGGGGAGUGAAAUAGAACCUGAAACCGUGUGCUUACAAGUAGUCAGAGCCCGUUAAUGGGUGAUGGCGUGCCUUUUGUAGAAUGAACCGGCGAGUUACGAUUUGAUGCAAGGUUAAGCAGUAAAUGUGGAGCCGUAGCGAAAGCGAGUCUGAAUAGGGCGUUUAGUAUUUGGUCGUAGACCCGAAACCAGGUGAUCUACCCUUGGUCAGGUUGAAGUUCAGGUAACACUGAAUGGAGGACCGAACCGACUUACGUUGAAAAGUGAGCGGAUGAACUGAGGGUAGCGGAGAAAUUCCAAUCGAACCUGGAGAUAGCUGGUUCUCUCCGAAAUAGCUUUAGGGCUAGCCUCAAGUGAUGAUUAUUGGAGGUAGAGCACUGUUUGGACGAGGGGCCCCUCUCGGGUUACCGAAUUCAGACAAACUCCGAAUGCCAAUUAAUUUAACUUGGGAGUCAGAACAUGGGUGAUAAGGUCCGUGUUCGAAAGGGAAACAGCCCAGACCACCAGCUAAGGUCCCAAAAUAUAUGUUAAGUGGAAAAGGAUGUGGCGUUGCCCAGACAACUAGGAUGUUGGCUUAGAAGCAGCCAUCAUUUAAAGAGUGCGUAAUAGCUCACUAGUCGAGUGACACUGCGCCGAAAAUGUACCGGGGCUAAACAUAUUACCGAAGCUGUGGAUUGUCCUUUGGACAAUGGUAGGAGAGCGUUCUAAGGGCGUUGAAGCAUGAUCGUAAGGACAUGUGGAGCGCUUAGAAGUGAGAAUGCCGGUGUGAGUAGCGAAAGACGGGUGAGAAUCCCGUCCACC
Molecule: ribosomal RNA, 886 nt
Filed under: Staphylococcus aureus
Lineage: Bacteria; Bacillati; Bacillota; Bacilli; Caryophanales; Staphylococcaceae
Description: partial 23S ribosomal RNA
Rfam family: Bacterial large subunit ribosomal RNA
Source: RNAcentral